Molecule: non-coding RNA, 219 nt
Organism: Pelobates cultripes (western spadefoot toad)
Lineage: Eukaryota; Metazoa; Chordata; Amphibia; Anura; Pelobatidae
Source: the annotation of a GenBank genome assembly
GUAUGUCUGUCAGUGUCUGUGUGUAUGUGUGUUUCAGUAUGUCUGUCUGUCUGUGUGUACGUGUGCCAGAAUGUCUGUCAGUGUGUCAGUAUGUCUAUGUGGGAGUCUGUCAGUGUCCUUGUGGUUCUGUAUGUCUGUGUUUGUCAAUAUGUCUGUCAGUGUGUGUGUAUGUGUGUUUCAGUAUGUCUGUCUGUCUGUAUAUGUGCCAGUAUGUCUGUG